This 465-nucleotide ribosomal RNA is filed under the name uncultured bacterium. Its description in RNAcentral is "partial 16S ribosomal RNA". It matches the Rfam family "Bacterial small subunit ribosomal RNA", at positions 338 to 795 of the family's 1533-position model. The record is from RNAcentral.
CCUACGGGUGGCAGCAGUGGGGAAUAUUGCGCAAUGGGCGAAAGCCUGACGCAGCGACGCCGCGUGAGGGAUGAAGGUCUUCGGAUCGUAAACCUCUGUCAGCAGGGAAGAACGGUCACUGUGCUAAUCAGCAGUGAAUUGACGGUACCUGCAAAGGAAGCACCGGCUAACUACGUGCCAGCAGCCGCGGUAAUACGGAGGGUGCGAGCGUUAAUCGGAAUUACUGGGCGUAAAGCGCGCGUAGGCGGUAUAACAAGUCAAGGGUGAAAGCCCCGGGCUCAACGGGGGAACUGCAUUAGAAACUGGCAAACUGGAGUGUAGGAGAGGAUAGUGGAAUUCCAGGUGUAGGAGUGAAAUCCGUAGACAUAUGGAAGAACAUCAGUGGCGAAGGCGACUAUCUGGCACGUAACUGACGCUGAGGCGCGAAAGCGUGGGUAGCAAACAGGAUUAGAUACCCUUGUAGUC